UUUUGGAUCUUGUUUAGUGAGGGAGGGCCAAAAUGACUUGAGUUGAUUUUCCAUCGCCUUAUCAAACUGUGACAUAUAAAAUUUGAACUAUCUUAUUAGGAGCGGCAGAGGCAUGAAUUAUUUUCUAGAUAAGAUGAUUUAUUAUAUUGACCCCCUUUAAUAAACAUGAACAAUUGUUAGUACUGUUGAAGAUAUAGUUAAAUAUGAUUUUUCUGACAGUGUUAACUUUUAGAUAAAAUGAGAUGAUUGCUCAAUUCAACGUGGUACACCAGGGCAUGUAGGGAUCCAGGGUCUAAAUCUCAUGACCUCCACCCAUUAGAAGGAAAAAUAAAAAAGAAUUUUCACAUGUUUGACUUAUAGAAAAUAAUCAAAUUAAUAAAAACAUAGUGUACCUAACAAUUUAUCUUUUAGAGGAGGUUAUCACACGAUCAACACAUGUAUGAGCU
Molecule: long non-coding RNA, 446 nt
Filed under: Solanum tuberosum (potato)
Lineage: Eukaryota; Viridiplantae; Streptophyta; Magnoliopsida; Solanales; Solanaceae
Description: long non-coding RNA (STUB_LNC000836)
Source: RNAcentral